RNAcentral lists this ribosomal RNA (391 nucleotides) under Candidatus Thioglobus sp. Its description in RNAcentral is "bacterial SSU rRNA". It matches the Rfam family "Bacterial small subunit ribosomal RNA", at positions 1 to 385 of the family's 1533-position model. The record is from RNAcentral. Lineage: Bacteria; Pseudomonadati; Pseudomonadota; Gammaproteobacteria; Pseudothioglobaceae (SeqCode).
AUUGAACUGAAGAGUUUGAUCCUGGCUCAGAUUGAACGCUGGCGGUAUGCUUAACACAUGCAAGUCGAACGGAAACGAUACUAGCUUGCUAGUAGGCGUCGAGUGGCGGACGGGUGAGUAACGCGUAGGAAUCUACCUAAUAGUGGGGGAUAGCCCAGAGAAAUCUGGAUUAAUACCGCAUAAUCUCUAUGGAGUAAAGGGGCCCUCUUCUUGAAAGGUUUCGCUAUCAGAUGAGCCUGCGUAAGAUUAGCUAGUUGGUGAGGUAAAAGCUCACCAAGGCGACGAUCUUUAGCUGGUCUGAGAGGAUGAUCAGCCACACUGGAACUGAGACACGGUCCAGACUCCUACGGGAGGCAGCAGUGGGGAAUAUUGGACAAUGGGCGCAAGCCUG